Long non-coding RNA from Carassius carassius (crucian carp), 756 nucleotides. RefSeq lists it as uncharacterized. The record is from RefSeq and is a predicted model, not a curated record. The transcript has 2 exons. Lineage: Eukaryota; Metazoa; Chordata; Actinopteri; Cypriniformes; Cyprinidae.
GAGAUCCAGAGGGAAGUCACCCACAUACCAUUUGUGAGAUGACCCCACUCACUGGCAGGGAUUUUAAAUAGAGUAGUUGGAAUUAGUGUGCGUGAUGACUUCCUCUUAUGCUCUGAGAUAUCUUAUUCUCAGUUCUUUGGGAAAGAGUGGAAGCUUUGAGCUGAAGACUUCUUGAAACAGCAUGUGGCUGCGCACCACUUGCCUACUGUACCAGUCAGUCCUGCGUUCACCCUCAAUCUGUCAUCUCGUCUCAGCCUUUGGGAGGAGGACGGACUGCAUGACAGAUGGGGGGAGCAUUGGAGUCUCAGUCGCCAUCACUUCGCUCGAUCCGGCUCUGAUCCGGCACCCCUGCAGUUGAGUGAACAGUAGACAAAUAUAAAUCUGUACGCUUUAAAGCUAGCUUUCAUCAGGAAAUGGCGCAGUCGCUCUGAGUCUCCACCAUACAGUACAUAGAUACACACCCAAUGAUUAUAAAGACAGAAAUUGUGCAUUUAGGUGCGCUACUAUUAGAAUUUUAUUUGUAUUUUUUUUGCAAACAAACCCAACAAUUUAAAGCAACGUGUGUUCUUGAAACAAAUUUUAUUCCACAAGUUAUUCAUUUUAGCUAUUCAACCAUAUGAGAUAUCCAGUUGUUGCCAAAUUAGCAUAUGCCUUUCCAACGUUAUGUCAGUAUUAGUGAAAACAUAAAUCCAGAAUGGUAGACCAUGCAUAAGUAGCCUAUUUUUAAUUAUAAAUAAACAUACAUUUCAUUCGGUA